This is a long non-coding RNA of Populus trichocarpa (black cottonwood), 883 nucleotides long. RefSeq lists it as uncharacterized. NCBI's taxonomy places the organism in Eukaryota, Viridiplantae, Streptophyta, Magnoliopsida, Malpighiales, Salicaceae. The transcript has 2 exons. The record is from RefSeq and is a predicted model, not a curated record.
ACUCUCCAAUCUGCAUUUCUAUAUUUCAUAACCUUAGAGCUAGCUUUCUGGGUUCAUCCUUGCACUUUCCUUCGAUUUUUUUUUGAAAAGUAGCACUGUUCAUAAUUUUUUUUUUGGCAAAAUGACUUAUUUUAAAAAGUUUUGGUGAAAUAAUAUAGGUUGUACACGAUAUCUUCUUCUCCCUCUAGACCGGCCAUUGCUCACACUCUCUUUUUCGCCUUCUGUAGUUGUCUCUAGACCAAAAACCAUUGUGAAGUGACCAUUUACAACCUUAUCACACAAAACAAAAAAACUUCUUCUCUUCAUCUUCAAGCAUCUCUUCAAUCGUUUUUAACCAAAAACCAUUGCCACCAAUCCUCGAUUAUGACCACUACACUACCACCAUUUCUUGGUUGAUAAAUCAAGAUGAACAUCCUAUAUUACUCUUAAUUUUAUGAGUUUUAUAGUCAAUUGAUAAAAAUUAAAAUGUUAUAUUUCUGAACUGUAAAAACAUGCACCCCCCCCCCCCCCGGCCUCGAUGCCCGCACCCUCUAUUCCACCAUUUGAUGUGUCUCAAGCCCAAAAUCCAUUAUGAAUUGAUCAUUUGUAGCUUUAUCACACCCAAAAGAUUUCUUCGUCUUCAAGCUUUUCUUCGGUCGUUUUUUUAAUUGAAAACCAUUGCCCCAAUGUUGCCACCACUCCCCAUUCACAACCACUAUAAUGCCACCACUCUCUAGUUGAUAAAUCAAGGUGACAUGAUGAAGUGGAUUGAACAUGAUGAAGUUAUAUGUUGGUAGUUGAUCUAAACAAAUCAUCUCCUUUUUUAUUAUGUAGCAUGAUCUAACUCUUGUCUUCGUCUCCACAUUUACUCGAAUAAAAAGAAAAGCAUAAUAAUUUGUUGGUU